This is a long non-coding RNA of Canis lupus familiaris (dog), 1055 nucleotides long. RefSeq lists it as uncharacterized. The record is from RefSeq and is a predicted model, not a curated record. NCBI's taxonomy places the organism in Eukaryota, Metazoa, Chordata, Mammalia, Carnivora, Canidae. The transcript has 3 exons.
GGGAAAAGUUCAUGAGGUGGUGAUGGUCACAAGGAUGCUUUUGGAAGAAGAUUGCCACGCAGUGUUUGCUUUUCAACAUAAUGACAAAUUCUAAAGAUUUGUCUAUUCUUAAACCCACCCAACACUGUUUCAAUUACCAGGACUUUUUGGUAUUCUCUGACACCUGAUGGAGCAAGGCCCUUUUUAUCAUUUGAAAAUGUUGGGGAGAUACUUGCAUAUUGAUAACAAUUCAAAUAAUUUUCUCAGGAAUGGAUGUUUGUGAAAUGGAAAUAUGGAGGCCUUCGAAAUGCUCCUUCCCUGGGACAAAAGCUGUAACAAACUGCUCUCUGUGGGGUUCCAUUCAGAAAAAUGGAUGCACAGCAUUGUCAUUGUCAUUAGCAGAGUUGUAACCCAUCUAUUCACAUACUGACAAAGGCAACACAAGUAAUAUUUCUUUAUGUAACCAUCCAGGGAAAUAGAAUGGAUUAUUUAUGUUGUAUUUUAGGAGGUGGUAGAAGGAGGACAUAAGUUGAAGCUGAAUUAAAAGAAUUUUCAUGUUUGGGUAGAGACAAAAAGAUGUUUGAAUGGAUUACGGCUUUGGAUAAGAAAUGGAGAUCAUAUGUUGAUUUGAAGAUCUCUAGGGCUCUCCAGUCUUAGAGUUUCAGUUUUUUUUUUUCUCAACUAAAAUGGAAUCAUGAGCAGAUCCAGCUGUAUUUUAUGCUACAGAAUUAACCUUUCAUAAAGGAUAAUGUGUCACUAGCUGACUUAUGUAGCUGUGCAAGGGGAUGAUGAUGAUGCAUUGUAAUUCCCGAGUGCCUCGCCACACAUGGGGAUGAUGGUGAUGACGAUGGUGAUCCUGAUGAAGAAGAUGAUUUAUCAGCCGGAAUUCAGGCUCAGCGGUAUUCACCCCAAAUCAGUCCAGUGGGGAAAUAAAGGUUCUGUUGUCACAUAAAUCACAGCAAAGCAGUCGUCUGAGUCUCAGCAAGGGAGACAUGGGUGUGGAAUUCCAAGUGUGGUUUGGAUCCAGAAACAGCUUCAAAGGACCGAAUUCUGAAAGCAUGCAGGGACAUCUUUGG